This 294-nucleotide ribosomal RNA is filed under the name uncultured bacterium. Its description in RNAcentral is "partial 16S ribosomal RNA". It matches the Rfam family "Bacterial small subunit ribosomal RNA", at positions 28 to 334 of the family's 1533-position model. The record is from RNAcentral.
GACGAACGCUGGCGGCGUGCUUAACACAUGCAAGUCAAACGGUAACAGCAGAGCUUGCUCUGGCUGACGAGUGGCGGACGGGUGAGUAAUGCAUGGGAAUCUGCCCUAAAGUGGGGGACAACCUGGUGAAAACCAGGCUAAUACCGCAUAAUAUCUUCGGAUGAAAGGCUUCGGCCGCUUUUGGAUGAGCCCAUGUCUGAUUAGCUUGUUGGUGAGGUAAAAGCUCACCAAGGCAACGAUCAGUAGCUGGUCUGAGAGGACGAUCAGCCACACUGGGACUGAGACACGGCCCAG